GUCAUUUUAGCUCAGUCGACAGAGCAUCAGACUUUUAACCUGAGGGUCAAGGGUUCAAGUCCCUUAUUAGGCA
Strongylocentrotus purpuratus (purple sea urchin) is the source of this 73-nucleotide non-coding RNA. The record is from Rfam. NCBI's taxonomy places the organism in Eukaryota, Metazoa, Echinodermata, Echinoidea, Camarodonta, Strongylocentrotidae.